GACGAACGCUGGCGGCGUGCCUAACACAUGCAAGUCGAACGGUGAAGCGCUUGCCUUUUUGGUGGGUGUGGAUGAGUGGCGAACGGGUGAGUAACACGUGAGUAACCUGCCCUCUUCUUCUGGAUAACCUCAUGAAAGUGGGGCUAAUACGGGGUAUUCCGGGUCUGUCGCAUGGCGGGUUUGGGAAAGAUUGCGCCUUUGGGUGUUUUCGGUGGGGGAUGGGCUCGCGGCCUAUCAGCUUGUUGGUGGGGUGAUGGCCUACCAAGGCGGUGACGGGUAGCCGGCCUGAGAGGGUGGACGGCCACACUGGGACUGAGACACGGCCCAGACUCCGGCGGGAGGCAGCAGUGGGGAAUAUUGCACAAUGGGCGCAAGCCUGAUGCAGCGACGCCGCGUGAGGGAUGGAGGCCUUCGGGUUGUGAACCUCUUUCGCCAGUGAAGCAGGCCUGCUCCUGUGUGGGUGGGUUGACGGUAGCUGGAUAAGAAGCGCCGGCUAACUACGUG
Molecule: ribosomal RNA, 504 nt
Filed under: uncultured bacterium
Lineage: Bacteria
Description: partial 16S ribosomal RNA
Rfam family: Bacterial small subunit ribosomal RNA
Source: RNAcentral